UAGCAUAUCAAUAAGCGGAGGAAAAGAAACUAACCAGGAUUCCCCUAGUAACUGCGAGUGAAGCGGGAUGAGCUCAAAUUUAAAAUCUGGCGUCUUCGGCGUCCGAGUUGUAAUUUAGAGAAGCGUUUUCCGCGCCGGACCGUGUACAAGUCUCCUGGAACGGAGCGUCAUAGAGGGUGAGAAUCCCGUCUUUGACACGGACCCCCGGUGCUCUGUGAUACGCUCUCGAAGAGUCGAGUUGUUUGGGAAUGCAGCUCAAAAUGGGUGGUGAACUCCAUCUAAAGCUAAAUAUUGGCGAGAGACCGAUAGCGAACAAGUACCGUGAGGGAAAGAUGAAAAGCACUUUGGAAAGAGAGUGAAACAGUACGUGAAAUUGUUGAAAGGGAAACGCUUGAAGUCAGUCGCGUCCGCCGGGACUCAGCCGCAAGGUGUACUUUCCGGUGGACGGGCCAGCAUCACUUUCAAUCAUCGGAAAAGGGCGAGGGGAAUGUGGCACCUCCGGGUGUGUUAUAGCCCUUUGUCGUAUACGGUGACUGGGAGUGAGGACCGCCUUUGUAGGAUGCUGGCGUAAUGGCUUUAAACGACCCGUCUUGAAACACGGACCAAGGAGUCUAACAUGCCCGCGAGUGUUUGGGUGGAAAACCCAUGCGCGUAAUGAAAGUGAAAGUUGGGAAGGCUAUCGUGGCCUGCACCGACGCCCGGACUUGAGAUUUAUCGAAGGUUCUGCGGUAGAGCGUGUAUGUUGGGACCCGAAAGAUGGUGAACUAUGCCUGAAUAGGGUGAAGCCAGAGGAAACUCUGGUGGAGGCUCGUAGCGAUUCUGACGUGCAAAUCGAUCGUCAAAUUUGGGUAUAGGGGCGAAAGACUAAUCAAACCAUCUAGUAGCUGGUUCCUGCCGAU
RNAcentral lists this ribosomal RNA (899 nucleotides) under Peniophora erikssonii. RNAcentral describes it as "LSU rRNA". It matches the Rfam family "Eukaryotic large subunit ribosomal RNA", at positions 36 to 965 of the family's 3401-position model. Lineage: Eukaryota; Fungi; Basidiomycota; Agaricomycetes; Russulales; Peniophoraceae. The record is from RNAcentral.